This 220-nucleotide non-coding RNA is filed under the name Elstera litoralis. RNAcentral describes it as "Bacterial large subunit ribosomal RNA". It matches the Rfam family "Bacterial large subunit ribosomal RNA", at positions 1 to 227 of the family's 2925-position model. Lineage: Bacteria; Pseudomonadati; Pseudomonadota; Alphaproteobacteria; Rhodospirillales; Rhodospirillaceae. The record is from Rfam by way of RNAcentral.
GAUCAAGCGUCUUAAGGGCAUCUGGUGGAUGCCUUGGCUUCGAGAGGCGAUGAAGGACGUGGCAGGCUGCGAUAAGCUGCGGGGAGGGGCCAGCACCCUUUGAUCCGCGGAUUUCCGAAUGGGGAAACCCACCCGCAAGGGUAUCUUACACUGAAUUCAUAGGUGUAAGAGGCGAACCCGGGGAACUGAAACAUCUCAGUACCCGGAGGAAAGGACAUCA